CGCGUAGGUGGUUUGUUAAGUUGGAUGUGAAAGCCCCGGGCUCAACCUGGGGACUGCAUCCAAAACUGGCAAGCUAGAGUACGGUAGAGGGUGGUGGAAUUUCCUGUGUAGCGGUGAAAUGCGUAGAUAUAGGAAGGAACACCAGUGGCGAAGGCAACCACCUGGACUGAUACUGACACUGAGGUGCGAAAGCGUGGGGAGCAACA
This 206-nucleotide ribosomal RNA is filed under the name uncultured bacterium. RNAcentral describes it as "partial 16S ribosomal RNA". It matches the Rfam family "Bacterial small subunit ribosomal RNA", at positions 568 to 773 of the family's 1533-position model. The record is from RNAcentral.